This is a non-coding RNA of Misgurnus anguillicaudatus (oriental weatherfish), 1445 nucleotides long. The record is from RefSeq and is a predicted model, not a curated record. Lineage: Eukaryota; Metazoa; Chordata; Actinopteri; Cypriniformes; Cobitidae.
AGACCGUUAUUUGCUCGAGUUCCCUCAACUUUUUUGUCGCAAAUAACAUUAUUAAUAACCUGUAAAUAAUAAAAUUUGUACACAUUACGUUCCUUUUCACGUUGUAAUAGUAUGUUUUUGGUUUAAUAGUCGGCUUUAAGUUAGUUUUUCUGUCAGUUUGAUCGUCAAAAUCUUGAAAGUUAUCUACAGCCACACAUCCACUGUAUACCAAGUUAUGAUGAUCAAUUAUGAGAAUGCAAAAUGAUUUAUAGAUCAGUAAACAAUCAACAAAAAGGUAAUGUCUUAAUUAAUAUAUUUCUGCUUUUGUUACUUAUUCAUGUAUUUGAAUUACAUCAUUCAAAAUCAAAUGUUAAUAAUUAUAGGGUUUCAACUUGUUGCAGCUUUACAAAAAAUGUAGAAUUUGUAGGAGCAUGGACAACUGAGUAACAAAGUCAUAUUAUGCAGAUGGGUGCUCAUGGUGGCCUCCAAAUAAAUACAUGGACAGGCUGCUAAAGAGGGUCAGGAUGAUGGAGAUGCAAGAGCCAAAGACAGCACGGACCAAACACCAGGCCAGAAUUCUGCAUGAGUCAGUUUCCAGCCUUUUUCACAAAGUUGCCGACAACUGGAAGAAUGUCCCAAAUUGCUGAAAAAAGAAAUUCAAUUGAGUAAUUUUCACUCUAGAGACCCUGGGGUGACCACCAAGGACGAAUGAAAACUCCAGUGAGUGUCUCUAAGGUAGAUCCUAAUGCAGAUGGAUGGAAUGUUGAUCCGCCUAACAUGCAAGAUUUUCUGCACCGAGAACUUUGGAUGACCAUCAAGACAAGCACUCGUUUUGAGUCCUGAGACCCUGGGGUGACCACCGUGAACAAAUACAGACUGCAAAAAGGCAGUCUUGACGGUUCUAGGAUGAAUGCAAAUAAAGACUGACCACCUGACUUCAGCGGUCCAGUCUCUUGUGGGAAGCAGGUGUUUGUAACCCCAAAUACGGAUGAAGAGUGACGAAGAGGAUGAUGACUUUUUUCUCAAACAUCAUCUGAAGAUCUUGACAGGCUGGAGACAAAAUUAACAGACUGAGGGUUUAUACAAAGAAUCUUACUCAGCCAAUAUUAAAGAUAAGAUAUUUUUACAAAAUGUUCUUUUCAUUGUUUAGGAUGAUUUUAUGUAGAAAACAAUACAUCACAAAAAAGACUUUAGCUGGGUUUUCACAGGCAGUGCCUUACACACACACUAACCACAAUUAUAAACGCAACACUAACACAGAUUUAGACAGAUUUGUGAAUAAUAUUUGAGAGAAAUAGGCCUUUUGGGGACAUAGAAAAUAUUUAAGUUCAGCUCAUUAAAUGAAAAAUGGGGGCAAAAAAUGUUUUAACAAGUGCAAUACAAAUAUCAACCAUAAUACUGAUCGUUUAAAAAAAAGUAAGCCACUAUAUCUUUCUAGAAUCUUACAUAAGACUCAGUUACAUAAA